This 446-nucleotide ribosomal RNA is filed under the name uncultured bacterium. RNAcentral's name for it is "bacterial SSU rRNA". It matches the Rfam family "Bacterial small subunit ribosomal RNA", at positions 329 to 792 of the family's 1533-position model. The record is from RNAcentral.
UGCCAGACUCCUACGGGAGGCAGCAGUGGGGAAUAUUGCACAAUGGGGGAAACCCUGAUGCAGCGACGCCGCGUGAGUGAAGAAGUAUUUCGGUAUGUAAAGCUCUAUCAGCAGGGAAGAAAAUGACGGUACCUGACUAAGAAGCCCCGGCUAACUACGUGCCAGCAGCCGCGGUAAUACGUAGGGGGCAAGCGUUAUCCGGAUUUACUGGGUGUAAAGGGAGCGCAGGCGGCGCGCCAAGUCUGAUGUGAAACCCCGGGGCUCAACCCCGGGCAUGCAUUGGAAACUGGCGGGCUGGAGUGCCGGAGAGGUAAGCGGAAUUCCUAGUGUAGCGGUGAAAUGCGUAGAUAUUAGGAGGAACACCAGUGGCGAAGGCGGCUUACUGGACGGCAACUGACGCUGAGGCUCGAAAGCGUGGGGAGCAAACAGGAUUAGAUACCCGUGUA